Molecule: long non-coding RNA, 313 nt
Organism: Scomber japonicus (chub mackerel)
Lineage: Eukaryota; Metazoa; Chordata; Actinopteri; Scombriformes; Scombridae
Exons: 6
Source: RefSeq, a predicted model, not a curated record
GGCAAGGGACAAGUUGGACAUCGGGGUCCUAAUGGACAGAAGGGCCAACCAGGGAAUCCGGGUAUAAAAGGUAAUCCAGGUUCACAAGGACCCAGAGGAAUGCCGGGUCAGGAUGGUAGAGACGGUCGUGGACCCGCAGGACCCACAGGUAGCAAGGGAGAUCCUGGUUUUCCUGGUUACCCUGGUCUUCAGGGUGAGGAAGGCCAAAAGGGAACCAAAGGACAUCCGGGACAUAAAGGGAACUCAGGUCGACCGGGAAACACAGGCAGACCAGGUGAGGGAGGCGGGAAGGGAGACAAAGGAGGACCAGGAC